Molecule: unclassified non-coding RNA, 376 nt
Filed under: uncultured fungus
Lineage: Eukaryota; Fungi
Description: partial contains 5.8S ribosomal RNA and internal transcribed spacer 2
Rfam family: 5.8S ribosomal RNA (bases 1-133)
Source: RNAcentral
UGGCUCUCGCAUCGAUGAAGAACGCAGCGAAAUGCGAUAAGUAAUGUGAAUUGCAGAAUUCAGUGAAUCAUCGAAUCUUUGAACGCACCUUGCACCCUUUGGUAUUCCGAAGGGUACACCCGUUUGAGUGUCAUUGUAAUCUCACCACCAUGGACUUUGGUCUUUCGGUGUGUGGACUUGGAUGCUGCCGUGAUACCCACGACUCGUCUUAAAUGCAUGAGUGUACCCCGCUUUGCGGCGUAUUCGGUGUGAUACAUCUUCACCGGAGUUGAUCCUUUUGGGUCGCGUCUGUAAUGGUGUGGCUCUAUGCUUCCAACCGUCUCCCAGAGACAAGCUUUGACAAUUUGACCUCGAAUCGGGUGGGACUACCCGCUGA